This 498-nucleotide ribosomal RNA is filed under the name uncultured bacterium. Its description in RNAcentral is "partial 16S ribosomal RNA". It matches the Rfam family "Bacterial small subunit ribosomal RNA", at positions 28 to 507 of the family's 1533-position model. The record is from RNAcentral.
GACGAACGCUGGCGGCGUGCCUAAUACAUGCAAGUCGAACGAGAGCGACCGGUGCUUGCGCUGGUCAAUCUAGUGGCGAACGGGUGAGUAAGACGUGGGUAACCUGCUCAUCAGAGGGGGAUAACAUCCGGAAACGGAUGCUAAAACCGCAUAGUUCUUCGAGCCGCUUGGCUUGAAGAGGAAAAGAGGCGUAAGCUUCUGCUGAUGGCUGGACCCACGUUGCAUUAGCGAGUUGGUGAGGUAACGGCUCACCAAGGCCAGGAUCUAUAGCGGACCUGAGAGGAUGAUCGGCCACAUUGGAACUGAGACACGGCCCAAACUCCUACGGGAGGCAGCAGUAGGGAAUAUUCCGCAAUGGACGCAAGCCUGACGGAGCAACGCCGCGUGAGUGAAGAAGGUUUUCGGGUCGUAAAACUCUGUUGUUAGGGAAGAACAGGUGCUGGAGUAACUGUUGCCGCCUUGACGGUAGCUAACCAAAAAGCAACGGCUAACUACGUG